Molecule: RNA transcript, 2287 nt
Organism: Rhagoletis zephyria (snowberry fruit fly)
Lineage: Eukaryota; Metazoa; Arthropoda; Insecta; Diptera; Tephritidae
Gene name: sialin
Source: RefSeq, a predicted model, not a curated record
GUUCAUAUUCCAAAGCGCUUCAACAUAGCAGUGAUGUUGUUCAUGGCAUGUCUCAUGAGUUAUAUGAUGCGUGUGAAUCUUAGUAUUAAUAUUAUCGCUAUGGUCGAACAUACGGAUCCAAAUGCCACCGAACCGCUCCCAAAUUACGGUCCGCGCUAUAACUGGACUCAAACAGACCAAGCCAACUUGCUUGGUGCUUACUUUUAUGGUUACAUGAUUACUUCAUUGCCAGCGGGUAUGCUGGCGGAGAAUUUCGGAGGCAAGCCAGUGGCAGGCUGGAGCUGCUUAGGCGCCGCCGCGUUAACAGCACUGACGCCGCUCGCUGCAGCAUGGGACAAAUGGGCUGUAUUUGCAAUACGUUUUAUGAUUGGUUUCUUGGGUGGUGUUAUCUAUCCCUGCUGUCACAAUUUGGUCUCAAAAUGGUCACCGCCCGAUGAGAAAGGAAAAUUUGUUGCUGCACUCAUGGGUGGCACAUUUGGCACUGUGAUAACGUGGCCCAUUAGUGGCAUGCUCAUCGAAGGCAUGGGCUGGGACUGGUCUUUCUACAUGGUGGGUCUCUUUGUUUUAAUUGUUACAUUGGUUUGGUUCUACAUGGUCGCAGAUAGUCCAGCACAACAUCAGUCUAUAUCAGUCAAGGAGCGCGAAUACAUUGAAAAGAGUCUAGGCAAUACUAUCACCACAAAGAAGAGGUGGCCACCAUAUAAAAGUCUGCUUGUCUCACUACCCUUCUGGGCGCUUCUGUUCUUACAUUAUGGUAGCAUGUGGGGCUUGUUCUUCCUAAUUACCGCUACACCAAAGUUUCUCAGUGAAGUGCUGGGUUUCAACUUGUCCUCUGCCGGAUUUCUCUCUAGUUUGCCGCAUUUGGCUCGCUUGCUGUGCGCCUUUGGCUUUGGUGCCAUCGCCGAUCUCAUCCGCCGCAAAAGUUGGUUGUCUGUCACGGCAAUGCGCAAAGUUUUUUGCUUAUCUUCGCAUGUUUUGCCGGGUAUAAUGCUUAUUAUAUUGGCAUAUUUCGGUCGAGAUCCAUACUUUUGUGUCGCAAUCAUGACGAUCUCACUGGGUUUCAAUGGUGCGGCCACGUCUUCUAACUUGCAAAAUUCACAGGAUCUAGCGCCAAACUAUGCGGGCACACUUUACGGUAUCAUAAAUUGCGUUGGCACUACGCCUGGCAUUUUCUCACCAAUGAUUGUGGCUGCCUUUACUAAAGAAAGCAACACCAUCGAUCAAUGGCACUACGUCUUCCUGAUAGGUGCUGCAGCCUACAUAAUACCUGCGGUGAUAUUUUGGUUGUUUGGAUCUGGUGAAAUACAGAAAUGGAAUGAAAUUGAUAAGAAAUCGCCAAAGAGUGAUACUAUUAACACAAAAUUGUAAAGAAAGUGAUAACCUAUCGGAUAUUCUGGUAUUAAGUAUUGUAAGUUUAUUUAUAGCGUAAGUUGUAAAAAUUCAUGUCAGUUGAACAUUUUUAAAAUGUAGGUACAUAAAUAUAUAAUUAUUAAGCCCAUUUGUAGGGCUAUAGCUGCGUAUAUACAUCUAUAUAUAGUAUAUGCUGAAGUGAUACACAUAGAUACAUGUAAAUAUGUACAUACAUAUCGUUAGCUUAGAGUGAAAAGUUGCUAAGUCCAUUUUUAUAGGAGGGGAUAAAUUUCCUAUAGCCAUUUUCUUCAAGUAUUUCCCCAAACUUUGAAUACAAUAUUUUGCGUGUUUAAGGCAAAGCAAAAGUCCAAACGAAUAAGAAGGAUUCCAUCUUUAUUAAAAGAUUUCUUAUUUUGACUUUAACGGAUUUUCGGUGCCUCUUUUGGGCUUAGCAAAUUUUCCUUUCAUGGAAUAUACUUAAACAAGAAAAAAUAAAGCAAGUACCUUUAUAUUUUUCGAAACGAUGCAUUCUUAAUUCCUCUAGCUUCCUAUAUCAAAAUAUGAGUUUUCAUAAAAAGUGGGCUUAGCAACUUUUCACUCUACGCUAGCGAUACAUACAUAUACAUACAUAAAAUCUACAUAUCGCACACAAUCUUCAAAAGUGACACAACUCAAAAUUUCACGUUCGUCAGAAAAUGCGAAAAACUAUUUCGUAGCACAUGGUAAUCAUAUGGGCAAGGGGACAUUACCUUAGGGUUUUUCAACAAAUUAUAGCAAACAUUUUCUCCAGCUUUUGCUCAAAGGUAAAUAAAAGCUCUGUGUAAAUUUUUAGUGCAUUAUUUCAACAAUGCCAAAUUUUGAGUGGAGUCACUUUUGAAGACCGUGUACGAUAUGUGCUCGUGCUGUGAGCUAAAUAAAUACUACAUUUAGAACUAAA